AAUAAAAGUUGCGCCCUCUUUCAUCUCCAGGUAAAAUGAGCAUCAGAAAUAACUAGAUCUAGUUACAAAGUUAACCAAAUUGAAAAUAACUAGUGAUCUUGACGGCUUUCUUGUUUCUUAUCAUGCUCAUGCGUGUUUAAUGCUUGACGUUCGAGCGUACGUCAGUGCACUUCUAUCUGAAUGUUUAGCGGUAUUUCACGAGCGUCAGCAAGUAAUUCACUGGUUGACUAAAUCUGUUUUGAGAACCCUCAAUAUGCUUCGGUUUUUGAUCAGUCUGAGUAUUGGAGUAUACGCCGGAAUAUACAUAGCCCAAAAUUAUGAGGUGCCACGAGUGGAUGAACCAUCGAAACUUUAUCAGCGAGUACUUCAGUUUCUAGAAGAGAAUAAAAAGAAGCCAUAGCAUACUGUAGCAAUGUAUAUUUCUAAAACCACUUCCAAUACUAGAAGACGGAUAUGCCAUUAUCGAUGUAAUAUGAUGUAAAUGUAACAUUAUAACUCUCAAGGAAACGUCGAUAUAUAUCUAUGUAUAUAUAUAUAUAUAUGUACUCAAUGCAAUGUACAAAGACAAGUCACUCUUAUUUUUCCAUACAUUUAUUUUAAUAAACAAUAUUUAAACGCA
This is an unclassified non-coding RNA of Acromyrmex echinatior (Panamanian leafcutter ant), 619 nucleotides long. NCBI's taxonomy places the organism in Eukaryota, Metazoa, Arthropoda, Insecta, Hymenoptera, Formicidae. The record is from RefSeq and is a predicted model, not a curated record.